AGCACGACACACCGGAAUCCGUGCCUCCGAGGUCAAGGGAGGGUCACGAACCGCAUCGAGGCCGAAGUGACAAACCAACACGGCCUCCGCCACCUCCCACGGAGGAUCUGGACCAUCUGGUUAAUCUCACAAGCCAGCAAAACUCAGCCUAUCAGAUACCGAAACCAGAGAGUUCCCAAAAAGGUGCAGGUUACCACUAUAAGCCGUAGGGGAGAAAGCCAGAUGGUUGGUGUUUUUUUUUUUUAUUGUUUUUUUUGUGGGUAGCAACUCUCCUCUGUAGCAAACCGUGCCGGUCUUCUUCCUGAAGAUGGCCUCUCCGAGGGGCUCCACAGACGGCAUCUCUACCGGUGUUGCCACACCCCAAGUCAGUGCCUCUUCUUCAUCAUCAUCAUCAUCGUCUUCGUCUUCGUCAUCUUCUUCAGUCUGUGAAGCUUCCUCUCUCUCAUCGCCUCUGAUCGCUCAGGCGGGGCUGUUGGUGGGUGAUCAGAGGGUGAGCUGUUGAGCCGGGGCUGUCCUCCACCCAUCCUCUCCCUCUCUCCCUCUCUCUCUCUCCUCUCUGCUCCACUGGUUGGCUCCUGGCUCUUGCCCUGGAGGUGCCCAUCCUUUCCGGUUACGGUUGGCCAACAAAGCUGCUUCUGUAUGGUGGGCGCAAGAGCGAAGAGGGGAGAACGAAGAGGAUGGGGAGGGAGAAGGAGACGUCGCCCCUCCUGCUUUAUCUGUGAUGGCUGGACUCAGAUGAAAGGGAAGGUGGGCAUGUCUCCACUUGGUAGCAGUUCAUGUGAACAUUUCCAACCCGUUGGAGCUGUGAGGAGACACUCCCCCCCCCAUUUAUUUCCUGGUCCUCUCCCUACCACCUCUGUUUUAGAAGUGAUGGUCUCACCACCGGGCUGUCCUCAUCGAACAUGGGUUGACUGAAUGCUUCUCUCUAGCAAAUGGAGACACACGUGGACCUCCGUAAGCCACGCGUUCCGUGAUUUCAUUCAGGGCUGCUUUGCCUAUCACACAUUGGGGGACGUUACACCAAAGAGACCUUCAGGGUACCUGGGAAGAGAGAGGAGAUUUCCUGCUGGGUCAGAGUCCUGUCCAUACUCAGUGCGAAAACCCAGGUUUCCUGUU
Molecule: non-coding RNA, 1116 nt
Organism: Pogona vitticeps (central bearded dragon)
Lineage: Eukaryota; Metazoa; Chordata; Lepidosauria; Squamata; Agamidae
Source: RefSeq, a predicted model, not a curated record